Molecule: ribosomal RNA, 254 nt
Filed under: uncultured bacterium
Lineage: Bacteria
Description: partial 16S ribosomal RNA
Rfam family: Bacterial small subunit ribosomal RNA
Source: RNAcentral
UACGGGGGGUGCGAGCGUUGUCCGGAAUCACUGGGCGUAAAGGGCGCGUAGGUGGCUUGGCAAGCGCGUGGUGAAAGCCCGGGGCUCAACCCCGGGUCUGCCGUGCGAACUGCUAUGGCUUGAGCACUGUAGAGGCAGGUAGAAUUCCGGGUGUAGCGGUGGAAUGCGUAGAUAUCAGGAGGAACACCGAUGGCGAAGGCAGGUCUCUGGGCCACUACUGACGCUGAGAAGCGAAAGCAUAGGGAGCGAACAGG